Molecule: ribosomal RNA, 540 nt
Filed under: uncultured Bacillota bacterium
Lineage: Bacteria; Bacillati; Bacillota
Description: bacterial SSU rRNA
Rfam family: Bacterial small subunit ribosomal RNA
Source: RNAcentral
UACGGGAGGCAGCAGUGGGGAAUUUUGGACAAUGGGCGAAAGCCUGAUCCAGCAAUGCCGCGUGCAGGAUGAAGGCCUUCGGGUUGUAAACUGCUUUUGUACGGAACGAAAAGGUUCUGGUUAAUACCUGGGGCACAUGACGGUACCGUAAGAAUAAGCACCGGCUAACUACGUGCCAGCAGCCGCGGUAAUACGUAGGGUGCGAGCGUUAAUCGGAAUUACUGGGCGUAAAGCGUGCGCAGGCGGUUUUGUAAGACAGAGGUGAAAUCCCCGGGCUCAACCUGGGAACUGCCUUUGUGACUGCAAAGCUGGAGUGCGGCAGAGGGGGAUGGAAUUCCGCGUGUAGCAGUGAAAUGCGUAGAUAUGCGGAGGAACACCGAUGGCGAAGGCAAUCCCCUGGGCCUGCACUGACGCUCAUGCACGAAAGCGUGGGGAGCAAACAGGAUUAGAUACCCUGGUAGUCCACGCCCUAAACGAUGUCAAACUGGUUGUUGGGUCAUUAACUGAACUCAGUAAACGAAGCUAACGCGUGAAGUGACC